UACAGAGGUCUCAAGCGUUGUUCGGAUUCAUUGGGCGUAAAGGGUGCGUAGGCGGCGUGGUAAGUCGGGUGUGAAAUCUCGGAGCUUAACUCCGAAACUGCAUUCGAUACUGCCGUGCUUGAGGACUGGAGAGGAGACUGGAAUUUACGGUGUAGCGGUGAAAUGCGUAGAUAUCGGGAGGAACACCGGUGGCGAAGGCGGCAUCCUGGACCGGUAUUGACGCUGAGGCGCGAAAGCUAGGGGAGCAAACGGG
This 253-nucleotide ribosomal RNA is filed under the name uncultured bacterium. Its description in RNAcentral is "partial 16S ribosomal RNA". It matches the Rfam family "Bacterial small subunit ribosomal RNA", at positions 524 to 776 of the family's 1533-position model. The record is from RNAcentral.